Molecule: non-coding RNA, 45 nt
Filed under: Trichobilharzia regenti
Lineage: Eukaryota; Metazoa; Platyhelminthes; Trematoda; Strigeidida; Schistosomatidae
Source: RNAcentral
AUCCAGACGACGAGUCCCAAAUAGGACGAAAUGCGCAUCCUGUAU